This 497-nucleotide ribosomal RNA is filed under the name uncultured bacterium. Its description in RNAcentral is "partial 16S ribosomal RNA". It matches the Rfam family "Bacterial small subunit ribosomal RNA", at positions 28 to 507 of the family's 1533-position model. The record is from RNAcentral.
GAUGAACGCUGGCGGCGUGCCUAAUACAUGCAAGUCGAGCGAACGGACGAGAAGCUUGCUUCUCUGAUGUUAGCGGCGGACGGGUGAGUAACACGUGGAUAACCUUCCUAUAAGACUGGGAUAACUUCGGGAAACCGGAGCUAAUACCGGAUAAUAUUUUGAACCGCAUGGUUCAAAAGUGAAAGACGGUCUUGCUGUCACUUAUAGAUGGAUCCGCGCUGCAUUAGCUAGUUGGUAAGGUAACGGCUUACCAAGGCAACGAUGCAUAGCCGACCUGAGAGGGUGAUCGGCCACACUGGAACUGAGACACGGUCCAGACUCCUACGGGAGGCAGCAGUAGGGAAUCUUCCGCAAUGGGCGAAAGCCUGACGGAGCAACGCCGCGUGAGUGAUGAAGGUCUUCGGAUCGUAAAACUCUGUUAUUAGGGUAGAACAUAUGUGUAAGUAACUGUGCACAUCUUGACGGUACCUAAUCAGAAAGCCACGGCUAACUACGUG